Molecule: unclassified non-coding RNA, 110 nt
Filed under: Zea mays
Lineage: Eukaryota; Viridiplantae; Streptophyta; Magnoliopsida; Poales; Poaceae
Description: misc RNA Zm00001eb028870
Source: RNAcentral
GCGCCGGCGGGGAGAGGGAGCUGCCGAGCAACGGGUCGCCGCCGGUGGUGGAUGACGCCGGCGUCCAGGUCGCGGCCGUACUACGGAAGCGGUCGUUCCAGACGAUUUAG